This 624-nucleotide ribosomal RNA is filed under the name fungal endophyte. RNAcentral describes it as "eukaryotic LSU rRNA". The stretch from base 186 to 339 matches the Rfam family "5.8S ribosomal RNA". The record is from RNAcentral. Lineage: Eukaryota; Fungi.
GGAGGGAUCAUUACUGAGUUUACGCUCUAUAACCCUUUGUGAACAUACCUAUAACUGUUGCUUCGGCGGGUAGGGUCUCCGUGACCCUCCCGGCCUCCCGCCCCCGGGCGGGUCGGCGCCCGCCGGAGGAUAACCAAACUCUGAUUUAACGACGUUUCUUCUGAGUGGUACAAGCAAAUAAUCAAAACUUUUAACAACGGAUCUCUUGGUUCUGGCAUCGAUGAAGAACGCAGCGAAAUGCGAUAAGUAAUGUGAAUUGCAGAAUUCAGUGAAUCAUCGAAUCUUUGAACGCACAUUGCGCCCGCCAGCAUUCUGGCGGGCAUGCCUGUUCGAGCGUCAUUUCAACCCUCAAGCUCUGCUUGGUGUUGGGGCCCUACAGCUGAUGUAGGCCCUCAAAGGUAGUGGCGGACCCUCCCGGAGCCUCCUUUGCGUAGUAACUUUACGUCUCGCACUGGGAUCCGGAGGGACUCUUGCCGUAAAACCCCCAAUUUUCCAAAGGUUGACCUCGGAUCAGGUAGGAAUACCCGCUGAACUUAAGCAUAUCAAUAAGCGGAGGAAAAGAAACCAACAGGGAUUGCCUCAGUAACGGCGAGUGAAGCGGCAACAGCUCAAAUUUGAAAUCUG